GCAACCUGCCCUCCACUUCGGGAUAAGCCUUGGAAACGGGGUCUAAUACCGGAUAUGAGCUCGCAUCGCAUGGUGUGGGUUGGAAAGUUUUUCGGUGGGGGAUGGGCUCGCGGCCUAUCAGCUUGUUGGUGGGGUGAUGGCCUACCAAGGCGUCGACGGGUAGCCGGCCUGAGAGGGCGACCGGCCACACUGGGACUGAGACACGGCCCAGACUCCUACGGGAGGCAGCAGUGGGGAAUAUUGCACAAUGGGCGCAAGCCUGAUGCAGCGACGCCGCGUGAGGGAUGACGGCCUUCGGGUUGUAAACCUCUUUCAGCAGGGAAGAAGCGCAAGUGACGGUACCUGCAGAAGAAGCGCCGGCUAACUACGUGCCAGCAGCCGCGGUAAUACGUAGGGCGCAAGCGUUGUCCGGAAUUAUUGGGCGUAAAGAGCUCGUAGGCGGUCUGUCGCGUCUGGUGUGAAAUCCCGAGGCUCAACCUCGGGCUUGCAUCGGGUACGGGCAGACUAGAGUGCGGUAGGGGAGACUGGAAUUCCUGGUGUAGCGGUGGAAUGCGCAGAUAUCAGGAGGAACACCGAUGGCGAAGGCAGGUCUCUGGGCCGCAACUGACGCUGAGGAGCGAAAGCAUGGGGAGCGAACAGGAUUAGAUACCCUGGUAGUCCAUGCCGUAAACGUUGGGCACUAGGUGUGGGGCUCAUUCCACGAGUUCCGUGCCGCAGCUAACGCAUUAAGUGCCCCGCCUGGGGAGUACGGCCGCAAGGCUAAAACUCAAAGGAAUUGACGGGGGCCCGCACAAGCGGCGGAGCAUGCGGAUUAAUUCGAUGCAACGCGAAGAACCUUACCAAGGCUUGACAUGUACGAGAAAGCCCCCGAGACGGGGUUCUCUUUGGACACUCGUACACAGGUGGUGCAUGGUUGUCGUCAGCUCGUGUCGUGAGAUGUUGGGUUAAGUCCCGCAACGAGCGCAACCCUCGUCCUAUGUUGCCAGCGGGUUAUGCCGGGGACUCAUGGGAGACUGCCGGGGUCAACUCGGAGGAAGGUGGGGAUGACGUCAAAUCAUCAUGCCCCUUAUGUCUUGGGCUUCACGCAUGCUACAAUGGCCGGUACAGAGGGCUGCGAUACCGUAAGGUGGAGCGAAUCCCAAAAAGCCGGUCUCAGUUCGGAUUGGGGUCUGCAACUCGACCCCAUGAAGUCGGAGUCGCUAGUAAUCGCAGAUCAGCAACGCUGCGGUGAAUACGUUCCCGGGCCUUGUACAC
This 1254-nucleotide ribosomal RNA is filed under the name Promicromonospora sp. MS49. RNAcentral's name for it is "bacterial SSU rRNA". It matches the Rfam family "Bacterial small subunit ribosomal RNA", at positions 121 to 1388 of the family's 1533-position model. The record is from RNAcentral. Lineage: Bacteria; Bacillati; Actinomycetota; Actinomycetes; Micrococcales; Promicromonosporaceae.